AACUGCGAUCAUUCCAUCAUUCUGGAGAUUGUAUGCCAGUACUGCUUUUCUUACUCUUUUAUUGACUAUGAAGGCUACUCCAUUUCUUCUGAGGGAUUCUUGCCUGCAGUAGUAUACCUGAUGAUCAUCUGAAUUAAAUGCACCCAUUCCUGUCCAU
Varanus komodoensis (Komodo dragon) is the source of this 157-nucleotide long non-coding RNA. RefSeq lists it as uncharacterized. The transcript is spliced from 3 exons. The record is from RefSeq and is a predicted model, not a curated record. NCBI's taxonomy places the organism in Eukaryota, Metazoa, Chordata, Lepidosauria, Squamata, Varanidae.